GAUGAACGCUGACAGAAUGCUUAACACAUGCAAGUCGAUGGGGAAGUGGUGCUUGCACCAUGGCAACCAUGGCGGACGGGUGAGUAACGCGUAAGGGACUUACCUGCAGGACUGGGAUAACAGGGGGAAACUCCUGACAAGACCGGAUAAUGUCAUGGAGCUGCAUGGCUUUAUGAUGAAAGGAGACGCCUGCGGAGAGCCUUGCGUCCUAUUAGCUAGUUGGUGAGGUAAUGGCUCACCAAGGCGAAGAUAGGUAGCCGGCCUGAGAGGGUGGACGGCCACAAGGGGACUGAGAUACGGCCCUUACUCCUACGGGAGGCAGCAGUGGGGAAUAUUGGACAAUGGGGGCAACCCUGAUCCAGCAAUUCUGUGUGCACGAAGAAGGUUUUCGGAUUGUAAAGUGCUUGCAGCAGGGAAGAAGUAAGUGACGGUACCUGCAGAAGAAGAGACGGCUAAAUACGUG
This 463-nucleotide ribosomal RNA is filed under the name uncultured bacterium. Its description in RNAcentral is "partial 16S ribosomal RNA". It matches the Rfam family "Bacterial small subunit ribosomal RNA", at positions 28 to 507 of the family's 1533-position model. The record is from RNAcentral.